UACGUAGGUGGCAAGCGUUGUCCGGAAUUAUUGGGCGUAAAGCGCGCGCAGGCGGUCCUUUAAGUCUGAUGUGAAAGCCCACGGCUCAACCGUGGAGGGUCAUUGGAAACUGGGGGACUUGAGUACAGAAGAGAAGAGUGGAAUUCCACGUGUAGCGGUGAAGUGCGUAGAGAUGUGGAGGAACACCAGUGGCGAAGGCGACUCUUUGGUCUGUAACUGACGCUGAGGCGCGAAAGCGUGGGGAGCAAACAGG
Molecule: ribosomal RNA, 253 nt
Filed under: uncultured bacterium
Lineage: Bacteria
Description: partial 16S ribosomal RNA
Rfam family: Bacterial small subunit ribosomal RNA
Source: RNAcentral